AUUGAACGCUGGCGGCAUGCCUUACACAUGCAAGUCGAACGGCAGCACGGGGGCAACCCUGGUGGCGAGUGGCGAACGGGUGAGUAAUGCAUCGGAACGUGCCCAGUAGUGGGGGAGUAACUAGUCGAAAGAUUAGCUAAUACCGCAUACGACCUACGGGUGAAAGCGGGGAUUCGCAAGAACCUCGCGCUAUCGGAGCGGCCGAUGUCUGAUUAGCUAGUUGGCGGGGAAAAGCCCACCAAGGCUUCGAUCAGUAGCUGGUCUGAGAGGACGACCAGCCACACUGGGACUGAGACACGGCCCAGACUCCUACGGGAGGCAGCAGUGGGGAAUUUUGGACAAUGGGCGCAAGCCUGAUCCAGCCAUGCCGCGUGCGGGAAGAAGCUC
This 387-nucleotide ribosomal RNA is filed under the name uncultured bacterium. RNAcentral's name for it is "bacterial SSU rRNA". It matches the Rfam family "Bacterial small subunit ribosomal RNA", at positions 29 to 416 of the family's 1533-position model. The record is from RNAcentral.